Molecule: transfer RNA, 72 nt
Filed under: Dipodomys ordii (Ord's kangaroo rat)
Lineage: Eukaryota; Metazoa; Chordata; Mammalia; Rodentia; Heteromyidae
Rfam family: tRNA
About the family: Transfer RNA (tRNA) molecules are approximately 80 nucleotides in length. Their secondary structure includes four short double-helical elements and three loops (D, anti-codon, and T loops). Further hydrogen bonds mediate the characteristic L-shaped molecular structure. tRNAs have two regions of fundamental functional importance: the anti-codon, which is responsible for specific mRNA codon recognition, and the 3' end, to which the tRNAs corresponding amino acid is attached (by aminoacyl-tRNA synthetases). tRNAs cope with the degeneracy of the genetic code in two manners: having more than one tRNA (with a specific anti-codon) for a particular amino acid; and 'wobble' base-pairing, i.e. permitting non-standard base-pairing at the 3rd anti-codon position.
Source: Rfam by way of RNAcentral
UGGGAUGUAGCUCAGUGGUAGAGUGCUUGCCUGGCAUGCAUAAGGUCUUGUGUUUGAUCCUCAGCACUGUAA